UUGUUGCCUCGGCGGAUCAGCCCGCUCCCGGUAAAACGGGACGGCCCGCCAGAGGACCCCUAAACUCUGUUUCUAUAUGUAACUUCUGAGUAAAACCAUAAAUAAAUCAAAACUUUCAACAACGGAUCUCUUGGUUCUGGCAUCGAUGAAGAACGCAGCAAAAUGCGAUAAGUAAUGUGAAUUGCAGAAUUCAGUGAAUCAUCGAAUCUUUGAACGCACAUUGCGCCCGCCAGUAUUCUGGCGGGCAUGCCUGUUCGAGCGUCAUUUCAACCCUCAAGCCCUCGGGUUUGGUGUUGGGGAUCGGCGAGCCCUUGCGGCAAGCCGGCCCCGAAAUCUAGUGGCGGUCUCGCUGCAGCUUCCAUUGCGUAGUAGUAAAACCCUCGCAACUGGUACGCGGCGCGGCCAAGCCGUUAAACCCCCAACUUCUGAAUGUUGACCUCGGAUCAGGUAGGAAUACCCGCUGAACUUAAGCAUAUC
RNAcentral lists this ribosomal RNA (477 nucleotides) under Fusarium verticillioides. RNAcentral's name for it is "eukaryotic LSU rRNA". The stretch from base 111 to 264 matches the Rfam family "5.8S ribosomal RNA". Lineage: Eukaryota; Fungi; Ascomycota; Sordariomycetes; Hypocreales; Nectriaceae. The record is from RNAcentral.